Molecule: ribosomal RNA, 433 nt
Filed under: uncultured bacterium
Lineage: Bacteria
Description: partial 16S ribosomal RNA
Rfam family: Bacterial small subunit ribosomal RNA
Source: RNAcentral
AACGAACGCUGGCGGCAUGCCUAACACAUGCAAGUCGAACGAGACCUUCGGGUCUAGUGGCGCACGGGUGCGUAACGCGUGGGAACCUGCCCUUAGGUUCGGAAUAACUCCCCGAAAGGGGUGCUAAUACCGGAUAAUGUCUUCGGACCAAAGAUUUAUCGCCUUUGGAUGGGCCCGCGUUGGAUUAGCUAGUUGGUAGGGUAAAAGCCUACCAAGGCGACGAUCCAUAGCUGGUCUGAGAGGAUGAUCAGCCACACUGGGACUGAGACACGGCCCAGACUCCUACGGAGGGCAGCAGUGGGGAAUAUUGGACGAUGGGCGAAGGCCUGAUCCAGCAAUGCCGCGUGAGUGAUGAAGGCGUUAGGGUUGUAAAGCUCUCUUACCCGGGAUGAUAAUGACGGUACCGGGAGAAUAAGCUCCGGCUAACUCCGUG